This 211-nucleotide long non-coding RNA is filed under the name Medicago truncatula (barrel medic). Its description in RNAcentral is "long non-coding RNA (MTRU_LNC004102)". Lineage: Eukaryota; Viridiplantae; Streptophyta; Magnoliopsida; Fabales; Fabaceae. The record is from RNAcentral.
CCCCUCAAAAGCUGUAAUCUCAGAGUUAAAGAAUCCCAUAACAACUUCCUAGCUGCUCGAUCACAAGGUGCAUAAAUGUUAAACAAGUAGAACUCCUCAUUAGACUUAAUAAAACGGCCAUGAAUAAUAAGCGUAUGGUCACGACUAACAGAAGACCACACCUCCACCUCUGAAGUAUCCCACACUGACAACAGCCCCCCAGACGCCCCAC